RNAcentral lists this ribosomal RNA (429 nucleotides) under Actinomycetes bacterium. RNAcentral describes it as "Actinobacteria bacterium partial 16S ribosomal RNA". It matches the Rfam family "Bacterial small subunit ribosomal RNA", at positions 355 to 776 of the family's 1533-position model. Lineage: Bacteria; Bacillati; Actinomycetota; Actinomycetes. The record is from RNAcentral.
UAGGGAAUCUUCCGCAAGGGGCGAAAGCCUGACGGAGCAACGCCGCGUGAGUGAUGAAGGUCUUCGGUUCGUAAAACUCUGUUAUUAGGGAAGAACAAAUGUGUAAGUAACUAUGCACGUCUUGACGGUACCUAAUCAGAAAGCCACGGCUAACUACGUGCCAGCAGCCGCGGUAAUACGUAGGUGGCAAGCGUUAUCCGGAAUUAUUGGGCGUAAAGCGCGCGUAGGCGGUUUUUUAAGUCUGAUGUGAAAGCCCACGGCUCAACCGUGGAGGGUCAUUGGAAACUGGAAAACUUGAGUGCAGAAGAGGAAAGUGGAAUUCCAUGUGUAGCGGUGAAAUGCGCAGAGAUAUGGAGGAACACCAGUGGCGAAGGCGACUUUCUGGUCUGUACCUGACGCUGAUGUGCGAAAGCGUGGGGAUCAAACAGG